GACGAACGCUGGCGGCGUGCUUAACACAUGCAAGUCGAGCGGAGCGGCGAACGGGUGAGUAACGCGUGAGUAACUGCCCCCCUCUCUGGGAUAACAGUUGGACACGGCUGCUAAUACCGGAUAGUGGGGGAUGCCUCGCGACCUCUCAGCUUUUUGGGUGGGUAGUGGCCUACCAAGGCGACGCCGGGUAGCCGGCCUUGAGGGGCGACCGGCCACAUUGGGCUGGGGUACGGCCCACAGUCCUACUGGGGCCAGGAGUGUGGAAUGCUGUGCAAUGGGGGAAAACCUGAUGCAGGAACGCCGCGUGUGGGAUGACGGCCUUCGGGUUGUAAUCCGCUUUCAGACAUGACGCGGUAGUGGCAGAAGAAGCACCGGCUAACUACGUGCCAGCAGCCGCGGUAAUUC
This 405-nucleotide ribosomal RNA is filed under the name uncultured bacterium. Its description in RNAcentral is "partial 16S ribosomal RNA". It matches the Rfam family "Bacterial small subunit ribosomal RNA", at positions 28 to 526 of the family's 1533-position model. The record is from RNAcentral.